AAUAGAUACCCGGUAGUCCACGCCCUAAACGAUGCUCACUAGGUGUUGGGGAAGCGAUUCCUUGGUACCGUAGCUAACGCGUGAAGUGAGCCGCCUGGGGAGUACGGCCGCAAGGUUAAAACUCAAAGGAAUUGACGGGGACCCGCACAAGCGGUGGAUGAUGUGGAUUAAUUCGAUGCAACGCGAACAACCUUACCUACCCUUGACAUGUCCGGAAGCCUGCUGAAAGGUGGGUGUGCUCGAAAGAGAACCGGAACACAGGUGCUGCAUGGCUGUCGUCAGCUCGUGUCGUGAGAUGUUGGGUUAAGUCCCGCAACGAGCGCAACCCUUGUCCCUAGUUGCUACGCAAGGGCACUCUAGGGAGACUGCCGGUGACAAACCGGAGGAAGGUGGGGAUGACGUCAAGUCCUCAUGGCCCUUAUGGGUAGGGCUUCACACGUCAUACAAUGGACGGUACAGAGGGUUGCCAACCCGGCGAGGGGGGAGCCGAAUCCCCAGAAAGCCGUUCGUAGUCCGGAUCGCAGUCUGCAACUCGACUGCGUG
RNAcentral lists this ribosomal RNA (543 nucleotides) under uncultured bacterium. Its description in RNAcentral is "bacterial SSU rRNA". It matches the Rfam family "Bacterial small subunit ribosomal RNA", at positions 777 to 1322 of the family's 1533-position model. The record is from RNAcentral.